Molecule: ribosomal RNA, 694 nt
Filed under: uncultured ciliate
Lineage: Eukaryota; Ciliophora
Description: SSU rRNA
Rfam family: Eukaryotic small subunit ribosomal RNA
Source: RNAcentral
CGCCCUUCUUGGAUGGGGUAGUGGUAUUUGGACUACCAUGAGGAUUACGGGGUACGAGGAAUUAGGGUUUGAUAUCGGAGAGGGAGCCUGAGAAACGGCUACCACUUCUAAGGAAGGCAGCAGGCGCGUAAAUUACCCAAUCCCAACUCGGGGAGGUAGUGACAAGAAAUAAUAACUCGGAUAGUUCUACUAUUACGAGAUUAAAAUGAGAACAAUUUAAAAAUCUUAACGAGGAACAAAAUGAGGGCAAGUCUGGUGCCAGCAGCCGCGGUAAUUCCAGCUCAUUUAGUGUAUAUUAAAGUUGUUGCAGUUAAAAAGCUCGUAGUCGAUCAUCUAGUGCUUGCCGUCGUGGCUUCGGUCAUUGCGCGCGGGUGCUAUCUGCUCGAGAACUUCAUCUAACUUCACUGUUCGAUGUUGCUGAUCGGGCACUUUCCUGAGAAAAAAUUAGAGUGUUCAAAGCAGGCUAAUGCCUUGAAUAUUACAGCUUGGAAUAAUAGAUUAAGACUGAAGUCUCUUUUGUUGGUUAUGAACUUUAGUAAUGGUUAAUAGAAACAGGCGGGGGCAUUAGUAUUUAAUUGUCAGAGGUGAAAUUCUAUGAUUUAUUAAAGACUAACUUAUGCGAAAGCAUUUGCCAAGGAUGUUUUCAAUUGAUCAAGAACGAAAGUUAGGGGAUCAAAGACGAUCAGAUACCGUC